This is a long non-coding RNA of Oncorhynchus tshawytscha (Chinook salmon), 1121 nucleotides long. Lineage: Eukaryota; Metazoa; Chordata; Actinopteri; Salmoniformes; Salmonidae. The record is from Ensembl.
GGGGGUCAGGUAGAGAGUUAGGUCAGGUAGGGAGGUCAGGUAGAGAGUUAGGUCAGGUAGAGAGGUCAGGUAGAGAGUUAGGUCAGGUAGAGAGUUAGGUCAGGUAGAGAGGUCAGGUAGAGAGUUAGGACAGGUAGGGAGGUCAGGUAGAGAGUUAGGUCAGGUAGGGAGGUCAGGUAGAGAGUUAGGUCAGGUAGAGAGGUCAAGUAGAGAGUUAGGUCAGGUAGGGGGGUCAGGUAGAGAGUUAGGUCAGGUAGGGAGGUCAGGUAGAGAGGUCAGGUAGAGAGGUCAGGUAGAGAGUUAGGUCAGGUAGGGAGGUCAGGUAGAGAGUUAGGACAGGUAGGGAGUUAGGUCAUUUAGGGGGGUCAGGUAGAGAGUUAGGACAGGUAGAGAGUUAGGUCAGGUAGGGAGGUCAGGUAGAGAGUUAGGUCAGGUAGGGGGGUCAGGUAGAGAGUUAGGUCAGGUAGAGAGUUAGGUCAGGUAGAUAGGUCAGGUAGAGAGUUAGGUCAGGUAGAGAGUUAGGUCAGGUAGGGAGGUCAGGUAGAGAGUUAGGUCAGGUAGGGAGGUCAGGUAGAGAGGUCAGGUAGAGAGUUAGGUCAGGUAGAGAGGUCAGGUAGAGAGUUAGGUCAGGUAGGGAGUUAGGUCAGGUAGAGAGUUAGGACAGGUAGAGAGUUAGGACAGGUAGGGAGUUAGGACAGGUAGUGAGUUAGGUCAGGUAGGGAGAUCAGGUAGAGAGUUAGGUCAGGUAGGGAGGUCAGGUCGAGAGUUAGGUCAGGUAGGGAGGUCAGGUAGAGAGUUAGGUCAGGUAGGGAGGUCAGGUAGAGAGUUAGGUCAGGUAGGGAGGUCAGGUAGAGAGGUCAGGUAGAGAGUUAGGUCAGGUAGAGAGGCCUACGUCACCAUAGAGAAGAGCCGUCCGUCCAUCUGUCCACCAGAGAGACCGCUGAAUGCUAAAACAAACUGUCACAUAUCCACAACAUCCACACCUAUGAACUUGGACACAUAAUGAUUGUGGUUCCUUUGAAUGGCUAUAGAUCAAUACAAACAUAUGCUAUAGAUGCUAUAUGCUAUAGAUCAAUACAAACAUAUGCUAUAGAUGUUAUACGCUAUAGAUCAAUACAAAC